Long non-coding RNA from Molossus molossus (Pallas's mastiff bat), 333 nucleotides. RefSeq lists it as uncharacterized. The transcript has 3 exons. NCBI's taxonomy places the organism in Eukaryota, Metazoa, Chordata, Mammalia, Chiroptera, Molossidae. The record is from RefSeq and is a predicted model, not a curated record.
GAGGUGAAACACAGGUGGCUGGUUAAAGUGGGCUAGGCUGGUGGAAUUCCAGAGCUGAGAACCAGUGGUUGGAGUCUGGAUUGUGCACCUCAAUGAACCAGCCUGGAUGGAGUCAGGAUCUUCAGAAUUGCCUUUGAGAAGAAACCUAAAGGAAGGGCACAGGACCUUGCCCCUCAGCCAAAGCCUUGGAAAGCCCAAUGAAUAAUCGACUCUUAUCCUGCUUUUUCUAUCAAAGUGGAUCUGAAUCUUCUAUGGCCUUAAGUUGCCAUGAAGCUCCAACUCUCCUCAUACAGUUCCAGUCCAGUCCACUCUCCCUCUGCUGGAACCCAAGGU